AGAUAGAAUAGAGAUAAUAUACAAAUAUUUAUCUUCAAAAGAAAAGAUAUUGAAUGAUAAAAAUAUUUAACAAAAAAUAAAAUAUUAAUAGUUGGAGAAAAGAGAGGAAUUAAAAGUUUGUUUCGUUACGUUAUUUAUUUUACAUAUGAAAAAAGUGGAAUUUUGAAAUUGAUAUAUUGACAGACCGAAAUUGAAAUGUGUACUUUUAUAUGUAGUAUAGAUAAUUAUUUAUUUAUAUAUUAAUAUAAAUUAUAUAAAUAUAAAAUAUAUGUAUUUGAUCUGUUAUCGAAUUGGAUCGACAUAUAUGAACUAGAUGACCCCAGCUAGUGUUCGCCUCUUUAAUUAAACGAGCUAAAAAAUUUAGCUCAUGUUCGACUCAUUUUCUAAAUGAGUGAUUCGAUCUCGAGCUCAUUUCGAGUUGGACACGAGCUAGUUCGCAAACAGUGAGCUGGAUUGCCACCCGUAAUACCAGUCACU
This 477-nucleotide long non-coding RNA is filed under the name Ananas comosus (pineapple). RNAcentral's name for it is "long non-coding RNA (ACOM_LNC003379)". The record is from RNAcentral. Lineage: Eukaryota; Viridiplantae; Streptophyta; Magnoliopsida; Poales; Bromeliaceae.